CCGUGUCUCUGAAGGCAUCCCUGCCCACCCUCACCCCUUGGGUUUUGGGAAGGACUAAUGAAAUGAAAACUGACUUCCUUGGGGCUUGACCUGGGGCUGCUGGAAGUGCGCUACAGACAACCUUUUAGUCCUCACGGUGGCCACUAAGGAGACCGAGGGAUUCCGUCGCUUCAAGCGCUCAGCUCAGUUCUUCAACUACAAGAUCCAGGCGCUUGGCCUAGGGGAGGACUGGAAUGUGGAGAAGGGGACGUCGGCAGGUGGAGGGCAGAAGGUCCGGCUGCUGAAGAAAGCUCUGGAGAAGCACGCAGACAAGGAGGAUCUGGUCAUUCUCUUCACAGACAGCUACGACGUGCUGUUUGCAUCGGGGCCCCGGGAGCUCCUGAAGAAGUUCCGGCAGGCCAGGAGCCAGGUGGUCUUCUCUGCCGAGGAGCUCAUCUACCCAGACCGCAGGCUGGAGACCAAGUAUCCGGUGGUCUCCGAUGGCAAGAGGUUCCUGGGCUCUGGAGGCUUCAUCGGUUAUGCCCCCAACCUCAGCAAACUGGUGGCCGAGUGGGAGGGCCAGGACAGCGACAGCGACCAGCUGUUUUACACCAGGAUCUUCUUGGACCCGGAGAAGAGGGAGCAGAUCAAUAUCACCCUGGACCACCGCUGCCGUAUCUUCCAGAACCUGGAUGGAGCCUUGGAUGAGGUCGUGCUCAAGUUUGAAAUGGGCCACGUGAGAGCGAGGAACCUGGCCUAUGACACCCUCCCGGUCCUGAUCCAUGGCAACGGGCCAACCAAGCUGCAGUUGAACUACUUGGGCAACUACAUCCCGCGCUUCUGGACCUUCGAGACAGGCUGCACCGUGUGUGACGAAGGCUUGCGAAGCCUCAAGGGCAUUGGGGAUGAAGCUCUGCCCACGGUCCUGGUUGGCGUGUUCAUCGAACAGCCCACGCCGUUCGUGUCCCUGUUCUUCCAGCGGCUCCUGCGGCUCCACUACCCCCAGAAA
This 988-nucleotide small RNA is filed under the name Pongo abelii (Sumatran orangutan). RNAcentral's name for it is "processed transcript". The record is from RNAcentral. Lineage: Eukaryota; Metazoa; Chordata; Mammalia; Primates; Hominidae.